This is a long non-coding RNA of Hemicordylus capensis (graceful crag lizard), 1298 nucleotides long. RefSeq lists it as uncharacterized. The transcript has 5 exons. The record is from RefSeq and is a predicted model, not a curated record. NCBI's taxonomy places the organism in Eukaryota, Metazoa, Chordata, Lepidosauria, Squamata, Cordylidae.
AUGGUCUUCUUUUCUAGAUGACCCAGAGACCAACCUGGCUGCCGCAUUCUGAAUCAACUGCAAUUUCCAGACUAUGUGCAAAGGCAGCCCCACAUAAAUCACAUUGCAAUAUUCCAGCCUAGAGGUUACCAGCAUAUGUACCACCUUUUUGAGGUCAUUCAUCUCAACCUCAAGAUGACACAGCUGGCGUAUCAGCCGAAGCCGAUAAAAAGCACCUCUGGCCACCGCCUCAGCCUCCUUCUCCCCAUGAUGUUGACAUGGAGAAAUAGAUUUGGGAAUCAUCAGCAUAUUGAUAACACCCUGCACUAAAUCUCCUGAUAAUCUCUCCCAGCGGUUUCAUGUAGAUUUUAAACAUUGGAGACAAUAUGGAGCCCUGAGGGACACCAUACCGAAGUUCAGAUUUUGAAGAACAACAAUCUCCAAGAGACACCAUCUGGAAUCUGCCCAUGAGUUUUGUUGAAGUGUCUUAUGUUGGCUGGGUUCUUGGUGGAAUUUAAAGCCAUGCAGAUGAGAAGAGAUGAAUGUUACUGGGCAGCUGCUAAAGAUCCAGGACCUUCAGAUGGACCCACUGCUGAUCCCUGAGGCCACCAUUAUGCCAAUAGCCUUCAAGUCAAUCCAGCCAGAUACUUCUCAUCUGAUCAUUGCGCAGGGCACAGGGUGUCUUCUGAACAGACCUAGCAUUCUGAAAACCAACACAAAUCAAAACACGUCAGGUUGUUGCAUUGAGGCUAAAGGAAACUGGAAGCGUAUUGAACUGGUCUUGCUUUAGAGGUCUGAUCCAAACCAAUGGCAAUCUUUCCAUUGGCUCCCAUGAACCUUUAAUCAAGCUGAAGUUGAUUACAGUUUGCUGCGGUUUUUCAAACCUUGGCUUGUUCCUACGGCAAGUUUCUCCUCAUCCAUCCCACCCAUUUCUGGCCUAUACAAAUGCAGAGAAGGCAGGGUGCCCCUGCCCCACCUCCUGCUUCUUAUUGGUGUGGCUGCUGUUUCCUGUGGCAUGGUGCCCCUGCUUCCUGCUUGCCUUCCAGGUUGCUUAAAGGAUACCUUCCUCUUCUGUCCAGGUGUGUGAACUAUGGUGAUUCUUUGAAGACAUCUUUUAAUCCCUGUCAUUUGAUUGUCCCUUGCUGAUUGUCCAUUGAAGACAUCUGUCUGGCUUAAAAUGAAAUGGCCUCCUGGGAGUCUAGCUCCAUCUGUUUCUUCUGAAAUAUAUAUUAAAAAUAUGAUGUAAUGGAACAUUAUUUAUUUGCUCACUGAGGAAAUUGAGUUUAAUAUGAUGAAUGAAUGAACGAAUGAAUUAAGGA